CCUACCUCUAGAGAAAAUGGAUGCAGGUGUGACUGCUGUGUCCCCUGUGGGUCAGUAGGUGGCAGAGAGGAAAGAAUCUACCUCUACACCAGAUGUUCUGACUUAGAACCUCUGAAUGAUUAGCAAUCUAACACU
Molecule: small nucleolar RNA, 135 nt
Organism: Apodemus sylvaticus (European woodmouse)
Lineage: Eukaryota; Metazoa; Chordata; Mammalia; Rodentia; Muridae
Product: small nucleolar RNA SNORA17
Exons: 1
Source: RefSeq, a predicted model, not a curated record